AUUGAACGCUGGCGGAAUGCUUUACACAUGCAAGUCGAACGAUGAACCUUAGCUUGCUAGGGGGAUUAGUGGCGAACGGGUGAGUAAUAUAUCGGAACGUACCUUGUAAUGGGGGAUAACUAGUCGAAAGAUUAGCUAAUACCGCAUACGCCCUGAGGGGGAAAGUAGGGGAUCCUCGGACCUUACGUUAUAAGAGCGGCCGAUAUCUGAUUAGCUAGUUGGUGGGGUAAUGGCCUACCAAGGCGACGAUCAGUAGCUGGUCUGAGAGGACGACCAGCCACACUGGAACUGAGACACGGUCCAGACUCCUACGGGAGGCAGCAGUGGGGAAUUUUGGACAAUGGACGCAAGUCUGAUCCAGCCAUGCCGCGUGCGGGAAGAAGG
This 384-nucleotide ribosomal RNA is filed under the name uncultured bacterium. Its description in RNAcentral is "bacterial SSU rRNA". It matches the Rfam family "Bacterial small subunit ribosomal RNA", at positions 30 to 414 of the family's 1533-position model. The record is from RNAcentral.